Molecule: long non-coding RNA, 1466 nt
Organism: Bos taurus (domestic cattle)
Lineage: Eukaryota; Metazoa; Chordata; Mammalia; Artiodactyla; Bovidae
Source: Ensembl
GUAUGUAGGCUUAAACCUACCGCACAGACUUUUGGGAAAGUGAUGACAUUCCCCUUGGUCUGAAGCUCUGGUGGAUUUUAAAUCCACAGAGGGAGGUGACUAAAUAGAAUGGGAGCUACAGCUUGCUGAGUCUGUGGUGUUAGCCCACUCUUAGCUCAUUAAAGCAGAUGCUCUGCAAAUUGAUUUAAACCAUUGUUUUGGGAGACCGUGGGGCUAAUUCCUGGGAAGAGAGGACACUAGUGUGAUGAUGGGGUGAACCAGCCAAGGCUCUGGAAGCUGUGUCAGUUUCAGGUGUUCAGCAGAAACCUGUCUGUUCUUAAAGGCUGCCGGCUGACGUGUUCCAGCUGAGAAAACCCAUCUCAUCCAGGCCCGCAGCCGCGAGCUCCACUGUGGCGGAUGCAGGGGCCCAGGCCCAGCCCAGGGCGAGCCACAGGGCUGUGGGCCCUGUGGGCAUGGCCCAGGUCCCCAGUGAGCUCCAGUGGUCCUCUCCCUGCGCGUCCUGCUGCUUCUCUGGAGCACCCCUACGCUCUCCUCCCUGCUCUCUUCGAGCUCACACACCUGUCUGAUGUGCCGGUGCACCCCAGGGGCACUGUGAGGAGCGUUUGACUGGGUGGGGAAGGUUCUAGCUGCCAGGGUGACUCAGGAAAAUAUCACCAACCAAGGCUUUCCACCUGGGGCUGGAAGUGGGCCCAGGACGAAAAAAGGACCAGACCGAAGUGUGUCCCCCCGAGCUCGUGCCGUCCUGGGGCCACGGGCCGGAGUGAGCCUGUCAGCACCCCGCAGACCGCUGCUUCGGGCUUGAGACACCGUCCAACUCCUUGGAGAAGGUGGGAGGAAAACGACGCUUCUUCCAGCCAGGCGGCCCGGUCCUCUGCAGAGGUCACUUCACUUCUACGACACCCACAGGGCGUGGCUCUGUGUUCCGGGAAUCGGUGUCUCUGCUAAGGGCUCACACCUGGAUUUCUGGAGCCGGCAGGUAGGACCUCCUGGUCUCAGUGACUGGGGCCGCCUCUCGCUGAGGUGGGGGCAGCCUUGGUGUCGGCUCCUUUUCUCAUUUUCCUUCCCAUUAGGUGGAGCGGGUCGUACGUUGCCACCUCCCUGCCUCUGGGACGUAUCCGGACUGUAUCCCUGUUUAUCCGGACGUCGUUAGGGCCGUGAGGCACAUGCCGGGUCGCCCCUUUACUGAACAUGCAGCCUGGAUGGGCUUCCGACUGUCUCGAGGACUGCUCUGUGGGCGAAGACAGAGGCAGGCUUAAAGCCAAAUCAGCAAGCACCUCCAGGUGGCUAGUCCUUCACAUUCAGGCCAGAAACUCGUCAGGAGCAAAGCCCCAAGAAGACGAACUAGCACUAAUUAGUGACGUGAGACAGACAUAGAGGAGCAAAUACUGUUUCCUCUCACUCGUAUGAGGCACCUGAACAGUCAAGUUCACAGAGACAGAAAGUGUAUGGUUGGAGGGGUCGGGGGC